GAUGAACGCUGGCGGCGUGCCUAAUACAUGCAAGUCGAGCGAACGGACGAGAAGCUUGCUUUUCUGAUGUUAGCGGCGGACGGGUGAGUAACACGUGGAUAACCUACCUAUAAGACUGGGAUAACUUCGGGAAACCGGAGCUAAUACCGGAUAAUAUUUUGAACCGCAUGGUUCAAAAGUGAAAGACGGUCUUGCUGUCACUUAUAGAUGGAUCCGCGCUGCAUUAGCUAGUUGGUAAGGUAACGGCUUACCAAGGCAACGAUGCAUAGCCGACCUGAGAGGGUGAUCGGCCACCUGGGAACUGAGACACGGUCCAGACUCCUACGGGAGGCAGCAGUAGGGAAUCUUCCGCAAUGGGCGAAAGCCUGACGGAGCAACGCCGCGUGAGUGAUGAAGGUCUUCGGAUCGUAAAACUCUGUUAUUAGGGAAGAACAUAUGUGUAAGUAACUGUGCACAUCUUGACGGUACCUAAUCAGAAAGCCACGGCUAACUACGUG
This 497-nucleotide ribosomal RNA is filed under the name uncultured bacterium. RNAcentral describes it as "partial 16S ribosomal RNA". It matches the Rfam family "Bacterial small subunit ribosomal RNA", at positions 28 to 507 of the family's 1533-position model. The record is from RNAcentral.